GACUAAGCGUACACGGUGGAUGCCCUGGCAGUCAGAGGCGAUGAAGGACGUGCUAAUCUGCGAAAAGCGUCGGUAAGGUGAUAUGAACCGUUAUAACCGGCGAUGUCCGAAUGGGGAAACCCAGUGCAAUUCGUUGCACUAUCGUUAACUGAAUACAUAGGUUAACGAGGCGAACCGGGGGAACUGAAACAUCUAAGUACCCCGAGGAAAAGAAAUCAACCGAGAUUCCCCCAGUAGCGGCGAGCGAACGGGGAGCAGCCCAGAGUCUGAAUCAGCUUGUGUGUUAGUGGAACGGUCUGGAAAGUCCGACGGUACAGGGUGAUAGUCCCGUACACCAAAAUGCACAGGUUGUGAACUCGAAGAGUAGGGCGGGACACGUGGUAUCCUGUCUGAAUAUGGGGGGACCAUCCUCCAAGGCUAAAUACUCCUGACUGACCGAUAGUGAACCAGUACCGUGAGGGAAAGGCGAAAAGAACCCCGGCGAGGGGAGUGAAAAAGAACCUGAAACCGUGUACGUACAAGCAGUGGGAGCACCUUCGGGUGUGACUGCGUACCUUUUGUAUAAUGGGUCAGCGACUUAUAUUCUGUAGCAAGGUUAACCGUAUAGGGGAGCCGCAGGGAAACCGAGUCUUAACUGGGCGUUAAGUUGCAGGGUAUAGACCCGAAACCCGGUGAUCUAGCCAUGGGCAGGUUGAAGGUUGGGUAACACUAACUGGAGGACCGAACCGACUAAUGUUGAAAAAUUAGCGGAUGACUUGUGGCUGGGGGUGAAAGGCCAAUCAAACCGGGAGAUAGCUGGUUCUCCCCGAAAGCUAUUUAGGUAGCGCCUCGUGAAUUCAUCUUCGGGGGUAGAGCACUGUUUCGGCUAGGGGGUCAUCCCGACUUACCAACCCGAUGCAAACUACGAAUACCGAAGAAUGUUAUCACGGGAGACACACGGCGGGUGCUAACGUCCGUCGUGAAGAGGGAAACAACCCAGACCGCCAGCUAAGGUCCCAAAGUCAUGGUUAAGUGGGAAACGAUGUGGGAAGGCACAGACAGCCAGGAUGUUGGCUUAGAAGCAGCCAUCAUUUAAAGAAAGCGUAAUAGCUCACUGGUCGAGUCGGCCUGCGCGGAAGAUGUAACGGGGCUAAACCAUGCACCGAAGCUGCGGCAGCGACACUAUGUGUUGUUGGGUAGGGGAGCGUUCUGUAAGCCUGCGAAGGUGUGCUGUGAGGCAUGCUGGAGGUAUCAGAAGUGCGAAUGCUGACAUAAGUAACGAUAAAGCGGGUGAAAAGCCCGCUCGCCGGAAGACCAAGGGUUCCUGUCCAACGUUAAUCGGGGCAGGGUGAGUCGACCCCUAAGGCGAGGCCGAAAGGCGUAGUCGAUGGGAAACAGGUUAAUAUUCCUGUACUUGGUGUUACUGCGAAGGGGGGACGGAGAAGGCUAUGUUAGCCGGGCGACGGUUGUCCCGGUUUAAGCAUGUAGGCUGGUUGUCCAGGCAAAUCCGGAUAA
Molecule: ribosomal RNA, 1494 nt
Filed under: Klebsiella pneumoniae
Lineage: Bacteria; Pseudomonadati; Pseudomonadota; Gammaproteobacteria; Enterobacterales; Enterobacteriaceae
Description: partial 23S ribosomal RNA
Rfam family: Bacterial large subunit ribosomal RNA
Source: RNAcentral